RNAcentral lists this ribosomal RNA (438 nucleotides) under uncultured Anaerovibrio sp. RNAcentral describes it as "bacterial SSU rRNA". It matches the Rfam family "Bacterial small subunit ribosomal RNA", at positions 341 to 772 of the family's 1533-position model. Lineage: Bacteria; Bacillati; Bacillota; Negativicutes; Selenomonadales; Selenomonadaceae. The record is from RNAcentral.
ACGGGAGGCAGCAGUGGGGAAUCUUCCGCAAUGGGCGCAAGCCUGACGGAGCAACGCCGCGUGAGUGAAGAAGGUCUUCGGAUCGUAAAGCUCUGUUGAGAGGGACGAGAGAUAAUGUCAGGAAAUGGGCAUUAGAGGACGGUACCUUUCGAGGAAGCCACGGCUAACUACGUGCCAGCAGCCGCGGUAAUACGUAGGUGGCGAGCGUUGUCCGGAAUUAUUGGGCGUAAAGGGAGCGCAGGUGGGACUUAAAGUCAGUCUUAAAAGUGCGGGGCUCAACCCCGUGAUGGGAUUGAAACUGUAGUUCUUGAGUGCAGGAGAGGAAAGCGGAAUUCCUAGUGUAGCGGUGAAAUACGUAGAUAUUAGGAGGAACACCGGUGGCGAAGGCGGCUUUCAGGACUGUAAUUGACACUGAGGAACGAAAGUGUGGGGAGCAAA